GCAGUAAAAAUCCACCUCGUAAACAAAAUGUGUGAAAAUACAGUGCGACGAAAAUACACUUCAAAAUUUUGGUGUUGCUGAAGAAGCCACUUUCUUGCGGUGGCAUGGUGCGUCAAAUUCUCCGGCGAUCGAUGGUGACCUGGGGCACAGCGUAUCAUAUUUCCUGCAUAACCCCGAGCAAAAACGAGAUUUAUCUUCGCCUCAGAACUAUUCAAAGUCUGCUUUGGACUGCCACCACCCAGGUUUCCAGCAAAUCACAGUUCUGCCGCAGGGCUUCUCUCUGUGUGUACCUCUAGAUGUUUCUGAGUACUUAAUCGUUUAUGAAUGCCAAGAUGCAUGCACAAGUAUCUGCCUCCUGAAUUGGGUGUCUUCGUCUGCGUUCGCUUUCCACGCAUUUUCCACAUGAAGAAAGGAGCUUCUUUGCCGCUAGUGUCGAGUUAGCCUUCGUGUAUGGACGCGUGUAUCCAGUCUGCCACUUGUUCCUUUUACUUCUGCAACCGUAUGGCGACACAGUUCGCGGGAUUGUAUCUUUUUGAAAAAAGAAACACGCGGAUUGAAACCGAGCCGGGGAUCGCGCAUCUUUCUCCCGACUAUACAGUCGAACAUGCAUCGCCUCCAUAAAUGAAAUGCAACGACAAGCGUAAAUGCGGGAAGACCGCCCAGAUAUCAUCCGGAAAAGCAGGCGGCGCCCGUGUUUCCCUUGAUACGACACUUCACCGAAAACCGUAGGGAACCGCAGCAAGACCAAAAUCGAAUUCAGCUGACAACGAAGACCCGAACAAAAAUGAUUUCUCCCGUAGACCGGCGUGGAUUUCAGGCCAGCCACCCGGAGCAGCUUGGCACCCAAGGCGGGGUAAAUUUGGGCUGACUUAAAAUGAGUGAAGCAAAGUUCGAACUCUUUGCGCGAGACGAAGGGAAAAAACAGACAGAAGCCAGAGAGAAACCCGUAUAGUGACUGAAAGGUGUCAGAGGACCCGCCUCACAAAAUGUUUUGAAUCUCAAGGCUGUCGGCUUCGGCAGAGCGGGGAAGGUUGUCCACUCGGCGGAGUUGAAUCUGCAAACAGACACCGUGGUAAACAGCAUCGUACACGCAUCACAUGAAUACGCGCGUAAAGCUUUUCCAGAGACACACACGGAAAAGUCUGUUGUCUUCCGUCCAUGUAUAAAUGACCCUCGGGACUGUAAAACCAAUCCAGAACCUUUUUUUUAUGUGCGACGAC
Molecule: long non-coding RNA, 1220 nt
Filed under: Toxoplasma gondii VEG
Lineage: Eukaryota; Apicomplexa; Conoidasida; Eucoccidiorida; Sarcocystidae
Source: RNAcentral